AUGGCGCUGGCGUCUUUGUCCAAGGUGGUGCUGGGGUCGGCGGCGUUCGGGGUGUUCUGGGUGCUGGCCGUGUUCCCGUCGGUGCCUUUCCUGCCGAUCGGCCGCACGGCGGGUGCGCUGCUGGGGGCGGCGCUGAUGGUCGUCUUCCACGUGAUCAGCCCGGAUGACGCCUACGCCUCCGUGGACCUCCCCAUCCUGGGCCUCCUCUUUGCCACCAUGGUGGUCGGCGGCUACCUCAAGAGCGCCGGCAUGUUCGGGCACCUUGGCCGGCUGCUGGCGUGGCGGAGCCAGGGCGGGCGCGACCUGCUGUGCCGCGUCUGCGUCGUCACGGCCCUCGCCAGCGCGCUCUUCACCAACGACACCUGCUGCGUGGUGCUCACGGAGUUCGUGCUCGAGCUCGCCGCCGAGCGCAACCUCCCCGCGAAGCCGUUCCUGCUGGCGCUGGCCACCAGCGCCAAUAUCGGGUCCAGCGCCACGCCCAUCGGGAACCCGCAGAACCUGGUCAUCGCCUUCAACAGCAAGAUCUCCUUCGUGGGCUUCUUCCUCGGCAUCCUACCGGCCAUGCUCGCAGGCAUGGCCGUCAACAUGGUCAUGCUGCUCUGCAUGUACUGGAAGGACCUCGAGGGGAGCAGUCCCGACGCGGUGGCCGCCGAGAAGGAGAUGGCGGCAGUCGAGGAGGGUCGCCGGCCGUCCCCGGCAACGUCGACGACGCUCAAGAGCCCCGGCCAGACGAUGCUGGUCCAGUCGCCGUCGCUGGUCGCGGCCGCCGACCACGACUCGGUGAUGGUGGAGAGCAUCUCGACCAAGCACCGGUGGUUCAUACAGUGCUCGGCGCCGCAGCGGAGGCUGUUCCUCAAGAGCUUCGCGUACAUCGUGACCGCCGGCAUGCUGGUCGCCUACAUGCUCGGGCUCAACAUGUCGUGGACCGCCAUCACCACCGCCGUCGCGCUCAUCGUGGUGGACUUCCGCGACGCCGAGCUCUGCCUCGGCAAGGUGUCUUACUCGCUGCUGGUUUUCUUCACGGGGAUGUUCGUGACGGUGAGCGGGUUCAAUAAGACGGGGCUCCCUGGCGCCAUCUGGAAAGUCAUGGAGCCAUACUCCAAGAUCAACCACGUCAGGGGCAUCACCGUGCUCUCCCUCAUCGUCAUCAUCCUCUCCAACCUAGCCUCCAACGUACCAACCGUGCUGCUGAUGGGUGACGAGGUGGCGGCGUCGGCGGCGACGAUCUCGGCGGCGGCGGUGACGCGGUCGUGGCUGCUGCUGGCGUGGGUGAGCACGGUGGCGGGUAACCUGUCCCUGCUGGGGUCGGCGGCGAACCUCAUCGUGUGCGAGCAGGCACGCCGGGCGCCGCGCAACGCACACGACCUCACCUUCUGGAGCCACGUCGUCUUCGGCGCGCCGUCCACGCUCGUCGUCACCGCCGUCGGCAUACCCCUCAUCGGCAUCAUCAACGCUGCCUAG
RNAcentral lists this ribosomal RNA (1461 nucleotides) under Triticum aestivum (bread wheat). RNAcentral's name for it is "partial small subunit ribosomal RNA". The record is from RNAcentral. Lineage: Eukaryota; Viridiplantae; Streptophyta; Magnoliopsida; Poales; Poaceae.